This 1260-nucleotide ribosomal RNA is filed under the name Microbacterium trichothecenolyticum. Its description in RNAcentral is "bacterial SSU rRNA". It matches the Rfam family "Bacterial small subunit ribosomal RNA", at positions 129 to 1401 of the family's 1533-position model. Lineage: Bacteria; Bacillati; Actinomycetota; Actinomycetes; Micrococcales; Microbacteriaceae. The record is from RNAcentral.
CCCUGGACUCUGGGAUAAGCGCUGGAAACGGCGUCUAAUACUGGAUAUGAGCUCUCAUCGCAUGGUGGGGGUUGGAAAGAUUUUUUGGUCUGGGAUGGGCUCGCGGCCUAUCAGCUUGUUGGUGAGGUAAUGGCUCACCAAGGCGUCGACGGGUAGCCGGCCUGAGAGGGUGACCGGCCACACUGGGACUGAGACACGGCCCAGACUCCUACGGGAGGCAGCAGUGGGGAAUAUUGCACAAUGGGCGGAAGCCUGAUGCAGCAACGCCGCGUGAGGGAUGACGGCCUUCGGGUUGUAAACCUCUUUUAGCAGGGAAGAAGCGAGAGUGACGGUACCUGCAGAAAAAGCGCCGGCUAACUACGUGCCAGCAGCCGCGGUAAUACGUAGGGCGCAAGCGUUAUCCGGAAUUAUUGGGCGUAAAGAGCUCGUAGGCGGUUUGUCGCGUCUGCUGUGAAAUCCCGAGGCUCAACCUCGGGCCUGCAGUGGGUACGGGCAGACUAGAGUGCGGUAGGGGAGAUUGGAAUUCCUGGUGUAGCGGUGGAAUGCGCAGAUAUCAGGAGGAACACCGAUGGCGAAGGCAGAUCUCUGGGCCGUAACUGACGCUGAGGAGCGAAAGGGUGGGGAGCAAACAGGCUUAGAUACCCUGGUAGUCCACCCCGUAAACGUUGGGAACUAGUUGUGGGGACCAUUCCACGGUUUCCGUGACGCAGCUAACGCAUUAAGUUCCCCGCCUGGGGAGUACGGCCGCAAGGCUAAAACUCAAAGGAAUUGACGGGGACCCGCACAAGCGGCGGAGCAUGCGGAUUAAUUCGAUGCAACGCGAAGAACCUUACCAAGGCUUGACAUACACCAGAACACCGUAGAAAUACGGGACUCUUUGGACACUGGUGAACAGGUGGUGCAUGGUUGUCGUCAGCUCGUGUCGUGAGAUGUUGGGUUAAGUCCCGCAACGAGCGCAACCCUCGUUCUAUGUUGCCAGCACGUAAUGGUGGGAACUCAUGGGAUACUGCCGGGGUCAACUCGGAGGAAGGUGGGGAUGACGUCAAAUCAUCAUGCCCCUUAUGUCUUGGGCUUCACGCAUGCUACAAUGGCCGGUACAAAGGGCUGCAAUACCGUGAGGUGGAGCGAAUCCCAAAAAGCCGGUCCCAGUUCGGAUUGAGGUCUGCAACUCGACCUCAUGAAGUCGGAGUCGCUAGUAAUCGCAGAUCAGCAACGCUGCGGUGAAUACGUUCCCGGGUCUUGUACACACCGCCCGUCAAG